Molecule: ribosomal RNA, 372 nt
Filed under: uncultured organism
Description: bacterial SSU rRNA
Rfam family: Bacterial small subunit ribosomal RNA
Source: RNAcentral
CGUAGGGGGCGAGCGUUGUCCGGAUUUAUUGGGCGUAAAGAGCGUGUAGGCGGUUCGGUAAGUCUGUCGUGAAAUCCUGAGGCUCAACCUCGGAGGUGCGAUGGAUACUGCCGGGCUAGAGGAUGGUAGAGGCGAGUGGAAUUCCCGGUGUAGCGGUGAAAUGCGCAGAUAUCGGGAGGAACACCAGUAGCGAAGGCGGCUCGCUGGGCCAUUCCUGACGCUGAGACGCGAAAGCUAGGGGAGCGAACAGGAUUAGAUACCCUGGUAGUCCUAGCCGUAAACGAUGGACACUAGGUGUGGGGGGAGUCGAAUCCCUCUGUGCCGCAGCCAACGCGUUAAGUGUCCCGCCUGGGGAGUACGGCCGCAAGGCUA